GGACUAUUAAAGUUUUUCUAACUCCCAACCCAUGUGAACUUACCUUUUGUUGCCUCGUGCAGAAGUUAUAAGUCUUCUUAUAGCUGCUGCCGGUGGACCAUUAAACUCUUGUUAUUUUAUGUAAUCUGAGCGUCUUAUUUUAAUAAGUCAAAACUUUCAACAACGGAUCUCUUGGUUCUGGCAUCGAUGAAGAACGCAGCGAAAUGCGAUAAGUAAUGUGAAUUGCAGAAUUCAGUGAAUCAUCGAAUCUUUGAACGCACAUUGCGCCCAUUAGUAUUCUAGUGGGCAUGCCUGUUCGAGCGUCAUUUCAACCCUUAAGCCUAGCUUAGUGUUGGGAAUCUACUUCUCUUAGGAGUUGUAGUUCCUGAAAUACAACGGCGGAUUUGUAGUAUCCUCUGAGCGUAGUAAUUUUUUUCUCGCUUUUGUUAGGUGCUAUAACUCCCAGCCGCUAAACCCCCAAUUUUCUGUGGUUGACCUCGGAUCAGGUAGGAAUACCCGCUGAACUUAAGCAUAUCAAUAAGGCGGAGGAGAAUCUUAUAGAGUUUAUAAACUCCCAACCCAUGUGAACUUACCUUUUGUUGCCUCGGCAGAAGUUAUAAGUCUUCUUAUAGCUGCUGCCGGUGGACCAUUAAACUCUUGUUAUUUUAUGUAAUCUGAGCGUCUUAUUUUAAUAAGUCAAAACUUUCACAACGGAUCUCUUGGUUCUGGCAUCGAUGAAGAAGCAGCGAAUGCGAUAAGUAAUGUGAAUUGCAGAAUUCAGUGAAUCAUCGAAUCUUUGAACGCACAUUGCGCCCAUUAGUAUUCUAGUGGGCAUGCUGUUCGAGCGUCAUUUCAACCUUUAAGCCUAGCUGAGUGUGGGAAUCUACUUCUCUUAGGAGUUGUGACUUCUGAAAUACACGCGGAAUGUAGUAUCUCUGAGCGUAGUAGUUUUUUUCCUCGCUUUGUUAGAUGCUAUACUCAGCUCUAACCAAUUUUUCUGUGUGUGUACCUCGUACUCGGUAGGAGAUACCGCUCGUAACC
This 1020-nucleotide ribosomal RNA is filed under the name Pestalotiopsis sydowiana. RNAcentral's name for it is "eukaryotic LSU rRNA". The stretch from base 152 to 305 matches the Rfam family "5.8S ribosomal RNA". The record is from RNAcentral. Lineage: Eukaryota; Fungi; Ascomycota; Sordariomycetes; Amphisphaeriales; Sporocadaceae.